CAAAGAGAGUAAGAAACAACCGCUGCGCAAGAAAAUCCAGUAUGACUUCUCUGAAAGUCUCAAAAGCUUCACAGAGCAGCACCAUCAGUUAAUGAAGAAAUGUGGCUCUGUAGUGGACACCUGUGAGGCAGUGGACAGACAGCUGCUGAUGUCUGAUGCUGACUGACAAUAAACAGACCUCUCUGGACGUACCCCAUAUUUUGCAGAGAAAUUAUACCAUUGCCCUUCCUGUUACAUGAUGAUCCUGCUGUCCUGGACUGUAUAUGAUGAGCCUACACAUAAUCUUAGAACAGCUGUGGUAAUAACAGGAGACCCGUUUGGUGAGAGCAGCACUGCAGACU
Long non-coding RNA from Carassius auratus (goldfish), 341 nucleotides. RefSeq lists it as uncharacterized. NCBI's taxonomy places the organism in Eukaryota, Metazoa, Chordata, Actinopteri, Cypriniformes, Cyprinidae. The transcript has 5 exons. The record is from RefSeq and is a predicted model, not a curated record.